Elaeis guineensis (African oil palm) is the source of this 4682-nucleotide RNA transcript. It is a transcript of the gene named putative disease resistance protein RGA4, with no coding region annotated. The record is from RefSeq and is a predicted model, not a curated record. Lineage: Eukaryota; Viridiplantae; Streptophyta; Magnoliopsida; Arecales; Arecaceae.
AAAAAAAAUCAUGGGUCACCGGUUGGUAACUUGUCGGAAUCAAAAUAUUUUAAGUAGCCUUACCUAAACAAUGGCCCGGAUGUAUUUCCAUCUUUUAUAAAAUAUAUUAAAAAAGUACCGCAGCACAACCCCAAUAAAGGAAGGUUCAGAGCACCUACAGGUCUGGUGGAAAGGGGGAGAGCAUUUCCGCUGAAUCAAUUUGUUUGCGAUUCAUCAACCCUUCUUACAAAUCAAUUGGAGAGACCUUUGCAGUCGGGAGUAAUGGCUGAGGUACUUCUCUCACCGUUUCUACAGAUGGUGAUGGAGAAGGCAGCCGACCAUCUUCUCCAACAAUUUACAGUGAUAUGGGGCAUCGAAGAGAAGCUGGAGAAGCUGGAAAGAAUGCUGUUAGCAAUCCAAGACGUAGUUGGAGAUGCAGAGCAGCGGCAAAUCAAGGAAGCGGGUGUGAAGAGCUGGUUGGCAGGACUGAAGAAUGCAGCCUACGAAGCAGACGACAUACUGGAUGAAUUCAAACUAGAAGCAAUGCGGCGGAAGGUGGAGAUUCAGGUCGACAUGAGGAAAAAGGUGCGCAGCUUCUUUUCCUUUCAUAAUCCCGUUUCGUUUCGUUUUAAGAUGGGGAAAAAUUUGAAAGAUAUUGUUGAGAAAAUAGAAGAGAUCGCAAAUGAGAGAAAUAUAUUUCAUUUCAAGGUCAAAACACAACCACAAAAUAAGCCCCAAACCCAUUCCUAUGUUGUUGAGUCAGAUGUCGUUGGUAGGGAGAAAGAAAAAGAAAAAAUAGUGAAGUUGUUACUGGAUCAUGAUACCAACCACAAUGUUGCAGUCUUUCCCAUAGUUGGCAUGGGGGGGCUGGGUAAGACCACACUUGCCAAAUUGAUUUACAAAGAUGAGGAUGUGAAGAAGCAUUUCCAGCCGCUCGUAUGGGUCUGUGCGUCGGAUGAGUUCGAUGUUGCAAAGCUUGUUAAAGCAAUAAUAGCUUCAGCUAGAGCGACCCAGUGUCAGGAAUCAAACAUGGAGUUGUCUAAAGUAAAAAUGGCUUCAGGCAGAGGGACUGAGGGUCAGGAAUCUAACAUGGAAUCGUUACAACUGGGACUUCGAGAAGUUAUAGGUGGGAAAAGGUACUUACUUGUAUUAGAUGAUGUUUGGAACGAGGAUCAGGUAAAGUGGGAUGAGUUGAAAGCUUUACUUGGAACUGGUGGAGAAGGGAGUAGGAUCAUUGUGACUGCACGAAGUGAACAGGUAUCACGGAUAAUGGGCGCACGUGAAGCUUAUCGUUUGGACUUUUUGAGUGAGAAUGAUUCUUGGGAAUUGUUUACGAAGAGAGCAAAUCCGCCUCAACAUCUGGAAAGCAUUGGCAAAGAGAUUGUCAAGAAAUGCGGUGGGUUGCCACUAGCAGUGAAGACAUUGGGGAGCUUAAUGCAGUCCAAGAGUCAGAAAAGUGAAUGGUUGUCCGUGAGGAAUAGCAAGAUUUGGGACAUGCAGGUUGGUGAAGAUGGGAUCUUACCAGCACUAAGGUUGAGCUACAGUCAUUUGCCUUCCCAUUUAAAACAAUGCUUUGCUUUUUGUGCCAUAUUUCCAAAGGAUUAUCAGAUGCAAAAGGAUCUGUUGAUUCAACUAUGGAUGGCCAAUGGAUUCAUUCCAUCUGGUGGAAGUAAGGAGUUGGAGGUCAAGGGUCAUGAGAUUUUUAAUGAGUUGGCUUCGAGAUCGUUUUUUCAGGAUAUCAAGGAAGUAACCGAGGACGAUGGUUACGAGGGCAGGCAUCAACCUUAUUGCAUAACAACAUGCAAGAUGCAUGACCUCAUGCAUGACCUGGCACAAUCCAUUAUGGGGAAUGAAUGCCUUAGCAUGGUGGACCCUGCCAUGUUGGAAGCUGCAUCUAGGAAAACCCGUCACUUGGGUUCAUUUCAGUAUUUCCAGUCUAACAUUCAUAAGAUCCCCUUGAAUAAUUAUCCAAAUAUUCGCACUCUCGUGUGCCAGGCAACAGUGACAGCGGAUUCAUCAAAGCCUAGGUCAUUGAGAGCAUUGGGUUUACAUGGUUAUAAUAUCAGACGAUUGCCUAUUUCAAUUAGAUUUCUGAAACACUUGAGAUACCUGGACCUCUCUCGCACUCGUAUAGAAGCAUUACCUGAUGCCACCAGUACCCUUUUCAAUCUACAAACUCUGAAACUCUCUAAUUGCUGGAAACUACGUAAGCUGCCUGAAGACAUGAGAAAUAUGAGUAGCCUGAGGCAUCUCUACAUUGACAGCUGUCAUCGUCUCAAGCACCUGCCAGCAGGUAUAGGGCAAUUAAGCAGUCUGCGAACAUUGACGAAAUACAUUGUUGGCAAUGAUGAUGGAAGGCGUAUAGGUGAGUUGAAUAGCUUAGAUCUCGGUGGCUUUCUAGAGCUGUAUGACCUGGGGAAUGUGAGGGAUGCAGCAGAUGCUAAAUAUGCUAAUCUCAGUUCCAAACAUAACCUUCGCUCAUUAAUAUUAUGCUGGGAUAUGAUUACAUGGGAUGUCCCUCAUUGUUACGGCAAAAAUGGCCUUUAUAAUUGUAAAGAUGUUUUGCCAGCCAAAAAUGCUGAAGAGGUGUUGGAAGCCCUUAGACCUUCUGUUGGCUUAAAGCUGCUGGCAAUAUGGCGCUAUGGGGGAGACAGAUUUCCAAAGUGGAUGAUGGACUUUAUGUUGCGGCAAUUAGUUGAAAUCCAUCUUGGAGUUUGCACAGGUUGCGAACAUCUCCCCCCUUUAUGGCAGCUACCCUUACUUAAAUUUCUCUACUUGUUUAAGAUGGAUAGCCUCAAGCACAUUUGCAACAGCACCAUCUACGGCAAUGCAAGUAAUGGUGCAGUGCAAGCAUUCCCCAAACUGCAGAGACUGGUGUUGCACACAAUGCAGAGCUUGAAGGAGUGGUCAAAGGAUGAAAAAACUGCACAGGUCAUGCUGGUUUUGCCUCACCUUGCUGAGCUUAAGAUCAUUAAUUGCCCAAAUUUGGUGACCAUACCAGAGCUACCAUCUCUCAAAAGUUUAGAAAUGAAAGGAACUAAUAAGCAGUUGGGCUGGGUUGGUCGUCUGACCACACUAUCUUCCCUUGACAUCGAACUCAAUAAAACGAGCAAUGGUACAGAGUCGCCUCCUCUUGCUCAAAAAGAAAUAUCUUUCAGGGAUUUUAGAUUUCUUGAAAAUUUAACUAUCACGGCAUCUGAUGAUCUGGCGCCAUUGCUGAAGGAGGAGAAGACGAAAGUGCUGAGCUCAUCCCUGCAUCGUUUGGAAUUUACAAGAUGCAAUUGGUUGUUUUCAUCAUCGCAGCAGGCAUCGUCACCUUUGGGGCUUUGGAAGAACCUAACUUCUCUCCGAUCUUUGAGAAUCCAAUAUUGUGAUGAUCUAGUCUACUGGCCGGAGGAGGAAUUCCAUGGCUUGAACUCACUGAAGACAUUAACCAUCCGGUAUUGCAAUAACUUGUUGGGCCCAUUAUCCUCGUCAUCAUCAGGGGAUGGAGAGCUCCUACCAAACCUGGAAGAGCUGACAAUUGGAUAUUGCAAUGGUCUGCUGGAAUUGCCCAAGUUGCCUGCUUCCCUCAGAUCUUUGCGGGUUAACGGCUGCCCCAAAAUGGCCAUGAUGGAAGGCCUGCGACAUGCCACCGCUCUCGACAACUUGAGCAUUUGUGAUUGUUCAAGCCUGACGUCUCUGCCGUUAGAGCUCACACACCUCAACGUACUCACAAGUUUAUGUCUCUGGAAUCUUUUCGGGCUGACAUGCUUGCCGCAAGGGUUUGGGCAGCUCACCGCACUAAAGUCUCUGGACAUCGACAAUUGCAGCAAUUUGUCAUCUCUGCCGGAAGGGAUGCAAGGCCUCACGGCACUUCAGGAUCUGGAUCUCACGUUUCUUCCUAGGCUGACAUGUUUGCCGCAAGGGUUUGGGCAGCUCACCGCACUCAAAUCUCUGGAUAUCAGCGAUUGCAGCAAUUUGUCAUAUCUGGCGGAAGGGAUGCAGGGCCUCACGGCACUUCAGUAUCUGUCUAUUCGUCGAUGCCCUCAGCUAUCAUCACUUCCGGAAGGUCUCCGACAACAACUCCCCGACCUUCAACAUCUGUUCGUCGGAGAAUGCCCCAUCCUAGAGAAACAGUACAGGAGAGGAGGACCGUAUUGGUACCUGGUCUCACGCAUCCCCAAUAUAGAAAUAGUAUCUGAGACGAGGAGCAACUUCAGCACAUUGUUUCCUUCCUUUUCUUGCUUUAGAAGACCAUCUACUUUUUAAUGUCAUUCCAGGAAUCUGGAUGCGAGUUUAAAACUACCAUGUACCAAUUGAUGAUUCUCGCAAGUAUUCUUUUGAGAUCGGAGAUAUAUCAGAUGAACAACAAAUUCGCUUCAAGAUGGAUAAAGAGCGUCCAUGACGCAAGCAGCUUUCUUAUUAAUCAUUUCAGCAACUUCUUGCAGUUGUCUUGGAUAAACUUUUCAAAGAUUUGCAAAUCUUCAUUGGUCAAGUGGCUUCAUGUGAAUCUUGUCGAUAGAUUUGUUUUGGUUGUUGUUAAGCAUUUAAAGGGACAGGAGGAAGAGAGAAGCUUAAUUCUCUUUAAAUAGAAGUCGUUUGUCAUUUAAUGUUGUGUUGACUAUUUUCUCUGAACCUUAUUUUAUUUGACAUCCUUCGACAUAUAAAUAUUGCAUUUGAAGUCUUUGAAUGGUAUUUUUGCUUUAUGUACCAAAAAUAAU